Molecule: long non-coding RNA, 3666 nt
Organism: Armigeres subalbatus
Lineage: Eukaryota; Metazoa; Arthropoda; Insecta; Diptera; Culicidae
Exons: 3
Source: RefSeq, a predicted model, not a curated record
ACCUAUGUUUUGUAUUUUUCCCUAAAACAUCCUUGAGUUUAGAUAACAUUGCGCAUAAAAUAGGGUGUUUUUAUGAAACGGUUAUUUUCAUACAAUUUUUUGAAAAAAAUAACAUCGUCUGUUUUAUGAGGUGAAUAUUCCUACCAGACGAUGGUGAUCCUAUGAGAUUCAGCAUAUUUGGCAACACUUGACAGCGGUGAGAACAUCGUUCAACUAUUUUUUCUGGCAUCUCUGUAUCAUGUUUAUUUACAUUUGAAAUGUCAUAAAUAUUGAGUGCACUUGGAGUGCACGAUGUGAAAAUAAAUUUCAUUCCGGAAAGUUAUUUUGUUUUCUUGUUUCGUCAACAACGACAUUUACUAGACAUUCACUGAUACGGAGCGUCUGAUUGGAGAUGUCGGAUCAAAUCCGGUCAACAUAUAGGUAGCAUAGGCAACAUAUUUUUGGUGCCCCUCCAUCGUUUUGCUGAAAUGGGAUCGAAGCGGAAAGCUAGAGCUCGGCUUCGCUACCACCACAAGCCGAAUUGACCGAUCGGUUGACCGACAAAAGCGCAAGGAGCAUAACGCCAACACCAUCCAGUGGAAGCAGCAAACGACCGCUUCGUAAACGAAUGCCUUUUUGGAAAAGUUGCGAUGGGACCGCCGCGGAAAAUUCCAAAUCAUAAGCAGACGAAGACUGCAGCUCAAGAAUGUAAUGAAGGUGUUACUGAUCUCCGAUACGACUCCGAAUAAAUCUGACCACAGCACUCAAUCGUGGGUCAUCUGAGCGACCCGCACGUAAUUUUCUGGUUGGCGUUUGAUCGCUUUUCGCAGCUUUUCAUAGCACCAUUGUACCACCACCGCUACUACCACCCAGAUCAGUCAAUCACACCAUGUACAAUACUAUGUAGCACUUGUCGCUUAAAUUAAACAUAGUGUGGAACCAAGGGGUGGGACGCUAAGCACAAUGUUCCAAGCACACAUUUUAAAAAUUUUACUCAUAAGUGUGGCACCGCGUGGCACACACUGUGGCACACUUUUGACAUUUGAAUGAUCAGAAUAAAAAAUACUGGCAACAUUGCUAAAUUUUUGUUUUGACUUAUGAAACGUGUGUAGCGUGACGUUACCAGACGUGAUAUGAGGACAAUAUUUACAUGCUUUCGACCGCGUUAAAAUAAUAGUACGUUCAGAUUAUGAGCUAUAUCACUUGAUAUAGCAAAUCUUGUCAUGAGAUGCCAUAUGCAGUAUUUCCAGUGAAAACUAGAUGUACAAACACUGAUGUCAAGAUGCUCUAUAUCAAGUGAUAUAGCUCAUAAUCUGAACGUACUAUAAGAGUGAAUUCACACGGGGGCAAUGUUUAUUUAUUCACAUGGGACAUGGGAACAAAAUAAUUAAAGGGAAGGAAGUAAAAAGAUAGUGUAGAUAUUUGCCUUUGUGUUUCAAUGCUUGAGGAGACUGUUCGAAAAUCACAAGAAAAUCGUUUUUUCAAAAGUGCUGUGCUUUUGUUCAACAAACAAUAGAUAACAUACAAUUCUCGCUUAACAAUUGAUUAGGGCCUACAAUGAAAAGUAAACAAAUUCAAUUUUAACACCCUUCGAUAGCAUCCUCUAAUAGCUACUAAUAGUAUAAAAAUGUUCCGCAUCUUCAAUUAAAUUACUUAGAAAAAACUAAUUUUUAAUUGGGCCUACAACGUGUUAUUUUCAAAAUAUGUGUAGGUCCACCCUAAAAAACGGCCAAGCCACUCGUUUUUUCUGUCUGGGAUAAGCCUUCUCCAACUUCGGGCCGAUAACGAGGUUUUUUUCCGAACCGUCAUCGGCCCGACCUCGGAGAGAGAAAAUUUCCCCUCCCGAAAAGCCUUAUCCCGUGUUUACUUUCAAAAAAUGCCAUAAACAAAGGGUCUAUGAAUGACAAGCAAAUGCAGAAUGACUUAUCAAGAAGGCCUAUUCCGGAGAAAAAAAUGAAAAUAGACUUAAACUCUUAUUUUAACGAUUUCGACACAUUUUUGCAUGUUUUCGAUACAAUUAAGGUUAUGGAUGGAUAAAUAGUGCUGAUUAUGUGCUUUUAGGAGUUUUUGCUGCUUAAAAUAUCAUAAACCUGGGAAAUAGGAAUAGAAAUUGUGAUGCAUUUUUUUCGAACGGCAUUUUCUCAGUGUUUACGUUUUGGCUGUAGGCCCUUUUCAAAUGUUACGCGAGAAUUGUCGUAUUGGAGAAGCUCGAAAUGAUACCUCCAAUUGGGGAAUAACGUAACGCUAAAAAUGGCAGUUUUCAAUCCCCUCCCCCUGUGACACUUUUUGCAUGAAUCAACUGAAAAUUUUGUAUGGACCGUCACACUUCAGGCAAUCCAGUCCUCCCAACAAGCGUCACGUAAUUUAUGGAUGUUCCUGUGCCCUUUGAGCCUAUAUUUUUGCCAAAUCUGCCAAAUCAUUAAGAUAAAAUAAACACUGAUACCGAUGCUAAUUAACGGGAGUUUUGGUAAUUUCUUUUAUUGGGUAGCAGUGGUACACCAUAUUUUCUGUCAAAUUGUUACCGUUGCGUACUAUUGCGUGCAAAGCGUAAGGAAAUACCACAAGAAUGAUCGCUGUUUCCGUUCCAAUCCGGCAUCUGAUAUCUGUUGGUUGGGUUGGGACACUUUGAAAUCUCAUCGUUAAGCCAACUUGGUCGCAAGACUGUUUUAAUGAUUUUGAUUUUUUCCCCAUCACGGCAAGCAGUUCACCGAAAACAAUUUGUCGGAAAGACCCCAUAAAAAGUUUGACAGCUCCAAAAUUUCACCAUCACUCGACGAAAUCGGGUGCCUUCCAAAUCGACCUAUUUUUGCACCGACGACGUCGAUUGUCGUAGGCUACAUAAUUUCGUCGCCAGAUUUAUUCAACGAUUAAGUCGCAAGCAAUCGGUUGCCUAUUUCAUCGGUUAAAUAAUCGAUUGAUUGUUUAUUUGGUGCUUAUUUUGAUCAUCUGAUUAAUGAACAGGCGCAAUCGGAUCCCUGUGUUCACAAACAUUGAAUAAACAAAGUAAGUAAAUAAUAUUUAUUUAUUGAAAUAUUGACCUUAUUUGUGAGAUUUUCAGAUCGAGACACAUUACGGAACAUCCAGGAAGACCGGGAUUUCAAGAUAAGUGAUAAAAUUUCAUCGAUUUUAACACAUGAAUGAAUGUUAUCCAGAAGACAUGAAAUGUUUUUAAUACAAUCUUUUAGAAUUUAUAUUUUUAUCGCAACAAGUUCAGUUGUCUUUUUUUUCAAGUUCUGCAGGAUAGGUUAUUUUAUUUCAUAGCAUAACAUACUGAUUUUUUUUUUAAAUCCUCAUUCAGAUUGCUAUCAGAAAUCCAGGUGAGUGAUCCUUGAUUUCAAUCUAGGAUACAAAUCACAAAAGCAUGAGGAUUACUACUCCUGGCCACGCCCAUCUUCGCGGUAACUUGGAAGGGGAAGGAAGUGUUGAUGUAGUACUUACUUAGUGAGAGCUUCCCGACUCAGCGACCCCGCAUAAGUACCACGGAGUUGGAUAUUGGGGAAGGUUUUCGUUGGGUCCAUGAUUUGCCUGUAGCUGAUAAUGUGACCAUGGUAGAUCUUACAAACCACGCAAACGUGUCUACCCAGCAUUACGGGGAAGGACAGGUUAAAGUAAUGUUGGUUUGUUUUGUGUGCUGACUUGUAUCGAAAUAGGUGCUUUCUUUGGCAUGUGUGUUUUCUGUAGAAGAAA